AUAAAUGGUCUAUGGCUCUAUAGGUCUAUAGAAAUGGCUUCCUGAGCCAAAGAAAUAGCCCAAAUGAGGGUCUUUCUUGAAUUUGCCUUAGAGGCAAUAUGUCUAUUUAUGGCUUGAUGCUUUCCGAAAAUGGACCAUUCACCAGCAACCUCGUUUGGAUCACACGAAACACAAUACAACUUGGAGGUUCAUCUGUCCUGCAGAAGACACACCAAACUUCUGCAUGAAGAUCCAGACCUCGACAACACAUUUACCACUAUGUCACAGACUAAGGUCAGAAAUACCUAUUCUUGCAGCAGCAAAAGGUGAAGUCAAUUCAUACCAGUACAAGUAUCCAACACACCAUUUAGGUUUUGCACAACCAUGAAACUAUUAAGAUGGUAUCUUAAAACGAAGAAAGACAUCUUCCUUCAUUACUGAACGGUGCAACAAGAGCGAGAGAUAAAGAGAUAGUUCUUCCUCUCUCUCUCUCUCUCUCUCUCACACACACCAAUUAGCACACACGGUAUAGUUAUCGGAGGCAAGUCAAUUGUCUACUGUUUCAUGUACUAAAACAUAGCAAGUGUGAUGUACCUAUUAAUAUACUAUGAAUAUUGUGUAAUGUACUUUGUGCUUCUAUCGUGUUAAUACAAAAACCUAUGUUGGAGGGCAUCA
Molecule: long non-coding RNA, 654 nt
Organism: Neltuma alba
Lineage: Eukaryota; Viridiplantae; Streptophyta; Magnoliopsida; Fabales; Fabaceae
Exons: 2
Source: RefSeq, a predicted model, not a curated record